CGAGGGUAAACCCGCACGGUCCAGUUGAAUCACCUGGUUUGAUUGGUAAACAUUUAUGGGUAUGAGAGGGGCUUGCGUCUGAUUAGGUAGUUGGUGAGGUAACGGCUCACCAAGCCAGUGAUCAGUAGGGGUUCUGAGAGGAUUGGCCCCCACAUGGGUACUGAGAGACGGACCCAACUCCUACGGGAGGCAGCAGUAGGGAAUAUUGGGCAAUGGAGGCAACUCUGACCCAGCCAUGCCGCGUGCAGGAUGAAGGCGCUCAGCGUUGUAAACUGCUUUUAUCUAGGAAGAAAUACAGAGAUGCGUCUUUGUUUGACGGUACUAGAGGAAUCAGCACCGGCUAACUCCGUGCCAGCAGCCGCGGUAAUACGGAGGGUGCAAGCGUUGUCCGGAUUUAUUGGGUUUAAAGGGUGCGUAGGUGGUUUUUCAAGUCUGAUUUGAAAGCUAGCUGCUCAACAGUUAGAUGUGGUUGGAAACUGGAGAACUUGAAUGGGUUGGCGGUAGCUGGAACGGGUCAUGUAGCGGUGAAAUGCAUAGAUAUGACCCAGAACCCCGAUUGCGAAGGCAGGCUACUACGACUUGAUUGACACUGAGGCACG
Molecule: ribosomal RNA, 599 nt
Filed under: uncultured bacterium
Lineage: Bacteria
Description: bacterial SSU rRNA
Rfam family: Bacterial small subunit ribosomal RNA
Source: RNAcentral